AGAACGAACGCUGGCGGCGGGGCUUAGGCAUGCAAGUCGAGCGAGAAAGCCGAAAGGCGAGUAAAGCGGCGUAAGGGUGAGUAAUGGUUAGUCAACGUACCGAGCAGACGCGAAUAAUUUCUCGAAAGGGAUUGUAAUGCGCGAUGAGACCACAUGCCCUACGGGGUGAGCGGUCAAAGGUCGGGGAUCCUUCGGGACCUGGCGCU
This 206-nucleotide ribosomal RNA is filed under the name uncultured bacterium. RNAcentral's name for it is "partial small subunit ribosomal RNA". It matches the Rfam family "Bacterial small subunit ribosomal RNA", at positions 26 to 219 of the family's 1533-position model. The record is from RNAcentral.